GGCUUUGCUCAGUGGCAGUAUCGUAGCCAAUGAGGUUUAUCCGAGGCAUGAUUAUUGCUAAUUGAAACUUCUAAUAUAUAAAGUAAGAUAUAGAAAUGAUGUAUAAGUAAUCUAAUAUAGGGAUUUAUAAUAGCUUUGUA
This is a small nuclear RNA of Lontra canadensis (Northern American river otter), 140 nucleotides long. RefSeq annotates it as U4 spliceosomal RNA. Lineage: Eukaryota; Metazoa; Chordata; Mammalia; Carnivora; Mustelidae. The transcript has a single exon. The record is from RefSeq and is a predicted model, not a curated record.